CAGCCGCCACGGUAAUACAGAGGGUGCAAGCGUUAAUCGGAAUUACUGGGCGUAAAGAGCGCGUAGGUGGUUUGUUAAGUUGGAUGUGAAAUCCCCGGGCUCAACCUGGGAACUGCAUCCAAAACUGGCAAGCUAGAGUAUGGUAGAGGGUGGUGGAAUUUCCUGUGUAGCGGUGAAAUGCGUAGAUAUAGGAAGGAACACCAGUGGCGAAGGCGACCACCUGGACUGAUACUGACACUGAGGUGCGAAAGCGUGGGGAGCAAACAGGAUUAGAUACCCCAGUAGUCCCUGUCUCUUAUAC
This 301-nucleotide ribosomal RNA is filed under the name uncultured bacterium. RNAcentral describes it as "partial 16S ribosomal RNA". It matches the Rfam family "Bacterial small subunit ribosomal RNA", at positions 509 to 807 of the family's 1533-position model. The record is from RNAcentral.